RNAcentral lists this ribosomal RNA (487 nucleotides) under uncultured bacterium. Its description in RNAcentral is "bacterial SSU rRNA". It matches the Rfam family "Bacterial small subunit ribosomal RNA", at positions 353 to 832 of the family's 1533-position model. The record is from RNAcentral.
AGUGGGGAAUUUUGGACAAUGGGCGCAAGCCUGAUCCAGCCAUUCCGCGUGAGUGAAGAAGGCCUUCGGGUUGUAAAGCUCUUUCGCAAGGGAAGAAAACUUACCUUUUAAUAGAGGGUGAGGUUGACGGUACCUUGAUAAGAAGCACCGGCUAACUACGUGCCAGCAGCCGCGGUAAUACGUAGGGUGCGAGCGUUAAUCGGAAUUACUGGGCGUAAAGCGUGCGCAGGCGGUUUUGUAAGUCAGAUGUGAAAGCCCCGGGCUCAACCUGGGAACUGCGUUUGAAACUACAAGGCUAGAGUAUGGGAGAGGGGGGUAGAAUUCCACGUGUAGCAGUGAAAUGCGUAGAGAUGUGGAGGAAUACCAAUGGCGAAGGCAGCCCCCUGGCCUAAUACUGACGCUCAUGCACGAAAGCGUGGGGAGCAAACAGGAUUAGAUACCCUGGUAGUCCACGCCCUAAACGAUGUCAACUAGUUGUUGGUGGAGU